RNAcentral lists this unclassified non-coding RNA (200 nucleotides) under Cortinarius sp. RNAcentral describes it as "partial internal transcribed spacer 2". The record is from RNAcentral. Lineage: Eukaryota; Fungi; Basidiomycota; Agaricomycetes; Agaricales; Cortinariaceae.
UUAAGUUCAGCGGGUAGUCCUACCUGAUUUGAGGUCACAUUAAUAAUGAUUUUGUCCAAAGACCGUUAGAAAGCUGAACAGCCCCCUUGCGCAUUCAUAAGCGUAGAUAAGCUAUCACACCAAUGAGCAAGGUUGUUCUGCUAAUGUAUUUCAGGGGAGCUGAACCUUUUGAGAGAGGCCAGCAAACCCCCACAUCCAAA